RNAcentral lists this ribosomal RNA (433 nucleotides) under uncultured bacterium. RNAcentral's name for it is "partial 16S ribosomal RNA". It matches the Rfam family "Bacterial small subunit ribosomal RNA", at positions 29 to 507 of the family's 1533-position model. The record is from RNAcentral.
AACGAACGCUGGCGGCAUGCCUAACACAUGCAAGUCGAACGAGACCUUCGGGUCUUGUGGCGCACGGGUGCGUAACGCGUGGGAACCUGCCCUUAGGUUCGGAAUAACUCCCCGAAAGGGGUGCUAAUACCGGAUAAUGUCUUCGGACCAAAGAUUUAUCGCCUUUGGAUGGGCCCGCGUUGGAUUCGCUAGUUGGUAGGGUAAAAGCCUACCAAGGCGACGAUCCAUAGCUGGUCUGAGAGGAUGAUCAGCCACACUGGGACUGAGACACGGCCCAGACUCCUACGGGAGGCAGCAGUGGGGAAUAUUGGACAAUGGGCGAAAGCCUGAUCCAGCAAUGCCGCGUGAGUGAUGAAGGCCUUAGGGUUGUAAAGCUCUUUUACCCGGGCUGAUAAUGACAGUACCGGGAGAAUAAGCUCCGGCUAACUCCGUG